RNAcentral lists this long non-coding RNA (7110 nucleotides) under Zostera marina. Its description in RNAcentral is "long non-coding RNA (ZMAR_LNC005022)". The record is from RNAcentral. Lineage: Eukaryota; Viridiplantae; Streptophyta; Magnoliopsida; Alismatales; Zosteraceae.
UGGAUAUAACUGUACUUCAAUUGAUAAUUAAAAUGAUAAUUUAAUAAUUUAUUUUAACAAUAAAUUAAAUAAUUUGAAAAUAAAUUGAUUAAAUAAAAUUAUAUAAUUUUUACUGGAAAUGAGCUUUUACUUCAAUCCAAAACUUACUUCAAUCUCGAUUUUAAAAAACCUAUAACAAAUCAAAAACACAUUAAUUAUUUUAUAUAAAUUUUAAAUUAUUUAAAAACAUAAAUUAAUUAAUUAUUUUAAUUAUUUUUUAAAUUAUUUAAAAAUAGAAAAUAAUUAAAACAAAUUUAUUUCAUGCAAAUAAUUAAUUAAGAUAUAGAUUCAUGUAAAUUGUUAAUUAAAUUGAUAUUUAAUUACAAUUAUUUAAAUAAUUUAAAAAUAAGUUGAUUAAAUAAAAAAUUUAAUUAUUUUCAAACAGAAAAUAAUUAUAUAAUAAAAUAAUUAUUUCUUUAAAUUCUUUCUAAUAUAUAAAUUAAAAUAAUAUAAAAACAGUAAUUAAAUAAUUCAUUUUAAUUACUAGAUAUUUUUCCAGAUUUAAUGAAUUUGCAUGCUUAAAGUAACCUCCAAAAUAUCCAACGAAUUCAUUCUGCUUAAUUUAUAAUUUCGUAUUCAAAUUUAUAAUAUCAUAUGUUUUGAUAAAAUCCAAACCAAGUAAAGAUAAUCUUAAAUCGUAAGAAGGAAUCAUAAAAAAUAUCUACAACUUUACACGAUACCUAAAGAUUUACUUAUUGCAUUGAAAUGUAGGUGAAAGUUUGGCAUGAUCCCUAUAAUAACUCAUACUUUGAACUAAAACAAUUCAUACAAUCAUAGGUUGAAUCCUGAAAAUUAUUUUUAAAUUCUAAACAAUUUUCUAAAUUUAAAAAUCUUGUGGAACAACAACCUAUCUUAUAAUAUUGGAUUGAUAUCAAACUAAAGAUACUCUACAACAACCUAUCUUAUAAAAUAAACUUAAGAAGACUCCACAAAAUCCUCAUCAAAUGAAACAAAUCACCAAAAAGCAAAAGCUUAAUACAUUCAUAAAUUAAUUACCAAAAAAAUUACAGCAAAUACAUUCAUAAAAUCUCCCCUAAUUACAAUAAACACAAUUAUAAAACCCUACAAAAUCACAGUACAUACAAAUAUACAAUCAUACCCCCCCAGAUCAUGACAAAUACAUUCAACUACAUUACUGACAUACUGGCAUUACAACAACCAAAUUAACAAAAAAAAAACAAUGUAAACAAUAACAAAAAAUACAACAACCACAUUGUAAAUAAGAUAAACAAACAAUGAAGGAGAAACAACAUGAAUACAAAGAAACAAAAUACCUACGGUCACUUAACGAUGGAGGAGAAACAUUGCUGAUGAUGGGACACCAAUGAUGACCGGUGAGGCGAGGGGCAGCGCACGGCGAAGCGAGGGGCAGCGCACGGCGAAGCGAGACCGACCGGCGGGAGAGAACGGCGGUGAGAAAUCGGGAGUCGGCGGUCUCUCUGGAUUUUGCGAAUGUGGUUGCGGUCUGUCUGGAUUUGGGGUUUUUAUUAAACCCCAACUUUUACAUGGCGGAUUUCCGCCAUUUAAGUGCACUUAAGUUCCGCCCGGACUUAAGUGAAAGUCCGCCCAAUCGAAAUUUGGGCGGGCUUUUUCCGCCCGAGUCCCCGAAUACUUAACAUGGCGGAUGUUAAGUCAAUUUAAUCGGGUAAUCGGGCUGAAUAUUGGGGGCCAUUCGAAAUUUUGGGCAGGAUAGUUUAGAUUGAGGAUUUCCGCCAUCUAAACACCGCCAUCGAAAGUAAUUUCGAACCGCCGUCGAGCCAAAACUUUUCCUCGGCGGACUCAAUGAAUAGAUGGCGGACAUCCGCCAUCUAAACAACUGGAUUACUGAUGGCGGAUUUCCGCCAUCUAAAGACCGCCCGCUAUACAAGGUCCUUUUUUUUGUAGUGUCAACUCCAUAUUGUUAAUUCUGUUUUAAACAGAUUAAUAAAUCACAUUGUUAAUUUCAUUGCUUCUUAGUGUCAUUUUGUAAUCAAUUCAAUACUAAAAAUUCUGCUUCAAGCAAAUUUAUAUUCUUUCUAUUUCAUUGUGUUUAAAUUUCUGUUAUUUUCUUCUCGUUUUAAAUCAAAUGAAUAAACUAAUUUCUACUAUAUUCUUGUGAGAUUUUAUUACUAUCUACAUCUCAUAGUAUUAAUUUAAUCUAGACAGAUAAAUUCUGAUUCUUUACAUGGUAUCAGUUUAGCUAUGGUUUAAUUCUGGGAUUCUCAUAGUUCUCUUAGUUUAACACUACUUUCUGCGAAUUCACUCUUAAAGGUUGAGAUGGCUACUCUACCUACACAUACAACUGUAGUUACAUCUCAACAAACACACUUAGGACAUGUAUCCUACAAUAUUUUCAGCAUGGUUCCUGACAGGCUAGAGAGGGGAAAUUACUUGACAUGGAAGAAUCAAUUUGAGUGUGCCCUGAGGGUACACAAAUUUAUGAAGUAUGUAAAUGGAACUACUUCCUGUCCAGCCCCUAGAGUGGAAAAUGACAUGGCAAACCCUGAGUAUGAUGAAUGGGUGGCCAAUGAUAAUUUGGUGUUAGGAUGGAUUAAAGCUACAGUCAACAACCAAUAUCAGCUCAUGCUUCAAAAGUGUGAGUUUGCGUAUGAUGGUUUGACUAGUUUGGAGAAAUUACUGUCACCAACAAGCAAUACUCAGGUGACAGUAAUAAAAGAACAACUCAGGACUCUGAAGAAGUCAGGCACAGAGACAAUGCAAGAGUACAUUGUCAAGGUUAAAGGUUUGGUAGAGUCUUUGGAAGCCACUGGAGAAAAUCUGAACAGUAAUUGCUUGAGAGAUUAUAUUCUAGGUGGAUUGGGGUUUGAAUAUAAAUGCUUAUUAACUACAGUAAGAAAUAGAACACAAACUCCUACAUUUGAUGAACUGGCUGAUAUGCUUUUAGGAGAAGAGUUACUUGUAAAAAGAAUUGAAGAAGAAAAUCAAGCUCAAGUAACUGUUGCUAUGGCUGCCUAUACUGGAUACAGAGGCCAGAGUACUAAUUACAGAGGAUAUAAUUCAAAUUACAGAGGUCAUAACCUUGGCUACAGAGGCAACAAUGUCAAUUAUAAUCUAAAUUACAAUCACAAUCCUAAUCAUUACUACAAUCCAAAUUACUAUCCAAACCACAACUAUAAAACCACAACCAUCCAAACUAAAACUAUCAACCACAAUAAAACUAUAAUUACAGACCUAGCUAUCAUCUCCAACCAAACUACAGACUACCUUAUUCAUAUCAACAAUAUCAGAAUAAUUACCCAAGGCCUUCACCACCACAAAAUCUUCAAAGACCACAACCACCACCAAACUUUAAAACACCAGCCUUUAUAGAUCAAUCCCAAAAUUGUCAAAUUUGUGACAAAAAUUAACAUCUUGCUAAACAAUAUCCUGAUUAUAAUAAUUUCUCAGCUCUAAGUACAACAGUAACAUCUAUACCUCAAUCAAUAUCCUACCCAAUAUCUCAACCAACAAUUCCUGAAUAUUCUGCAUUUCAACAUACAAACACUCCAGCAUAUAUAGAAAGUUAUCAGACACCACCAGAGAUGGCAAUGUCAGCUGCAACUACACAGGAUAACUCAUCCAGAAGGUGUCUAGACUCUGGGGCAUCCAGCCACAUGACACCUGAUCUCACAACCUUCACUGCUUAUGAAACAGCUCCAGGUACACAAUAUGUAAUUGUUGGGAGUGGUGACUAUUUACCAGUAAAAUACAGAGGGAUAGUAACUCUAAAAUUUAAAGGAAAGGACUAUAAAUUAGGAGUACUAUGUGUACCUGGGUUAAAGAAAAAUUUGAUGUCAAUUCAGAAAUUAUCUAAGGAUUUGAAUUGUAUAAUUGUUUUUAAUGAUAAAACUUUUUUGGUAAAGGACCAAGGCACUAUGGAGACAUUAUUUUCUGGCAGUAUCUCAGAAGGUCUAUACCACAUCUAUCCAGACAGUCAAGCCUGUUAUGGGGUGAGAGCUUCAAAAGAAAUGUGGCAUGACAGGUUAGGGCACCCAUCUGAGACAGUAAUGAAGCAAACUGAAUCUGAAUUACAAAUAAAAACUCAAGGAGGAAGGAGAACUGAUUUUUGUCCAAUAUGUCCAUUAGGGAAGAUUCAUCAAUUACCCUUUACAAGAAGGGAUGUAAUAGCUUUAGAACCACUAAAAACCUUACAUAUAGACCUUUGGGGUCCAUGCGAGCUCCUACAACUUCUGUAACAAAUUUUAGAUUUUAUAUCUCAAUUGUUAAUGAAUGCACAAGAUUUAUAUGGUUUUAUCCAAUAAGUAACAAAUCUGAUAUUUUUUCAUUUUUUGUCAAAUUUCACAAUCUUAUAGAGAGGUAUUUAGGUCAGAAAGUAAGAGAGGUUUAGACUGACCAAGGAGGGGAGUUUGUGAACUCUAGAUUCAACAUACUUAGAAGAGCAAGGAAUUAAUCAUAAGUUGUCAUGUGCAUACACUCCACAACAACAUGGAUUAGUAGAAAGAAGGCACAGACAGAUCUUAGAGGUAGGGAGAUGUUUAAUGAUCAAAGCAGGGAUACCAAGGGAAUACUGGCCAGAAGUAUUUUCCUCUGCAGUAUAUUUAAUAAAUAUAUUAAAAACACCCACCUUGGAAGGUAAGAGUCCAUUUGAAAUCCUAAUGAAAAGAUCUCCAGACUACUCAAUUUUGAAAACCUUAGGAUGUGAAUGCUACCCUCUACUACCAAGAGAAGGAAGAGAUAAACUAAUGCCUAAAUCUAAAAGAAGUGUAUUUUUGGAUUAUACUACACAACACAAAGGAUACAGGUGUUUAGAUAUUGAAAUAAAAAAGAUUAGGAUUUGCAGAAAUGUAGUGUUUAAUGAGAAUUCAUUUCCAUUUACUGAUUCUCUAAAAUCAGUAAAUACUCAAUCCAAACAAAAAAGACCUGUAGAACUGAUAUCUCAAAUAAGGGUACCAUUCACAAAAACAAUACAUCAUGUAGAUGAAUCAACCACUGAUGGUAGGAUUACUGAUAUGUCAAAUGAAAUAUAAAGCUUAGGUAGGAGUGAGUCUAAUUUUCCACCUAAUAGGGAUAUUAUUCAGAACAUACCAAACAAUCAAACCAGUUUGAAUGAAGUAGAGAGCUUAGGCAGGAAUCAUUAUGAUUCUCUGUCUAACAGAGACUUGAGUCUUGAUAGAUCAAUUCAGUCACAGUCAAGUUUAUAUAGGUCAAAUAAUGACAGUUUUGAACCAGAUCCAUCAACUGUCAUCCCAAAUACUGAGAUUAGGGUUAAUUUGGAAUUAAAUCCAAAUACAAACUCAUCUGCUCUUAAUAAUCCAAUUAAGAGUGCUCCUCCUAUUCAAGAUUUGAGAAGGUCGGUAAGAGAGAAAUUUCCAAAUGUGUUAUAUAAAAAUUAUGAUAUAUCUAAUAAUGUGACUAUUUCUAAUGAUAUUGUUGAGCCAAGAUGUUUCUCACAUGCUAAUAAGAAUAAAUGUUAGAAGGAAGCAAUGGAGGAGGAGAUGAAAGCAAUUAAAGAAAACAAUAUGUGGGUAUUGGUACCAAAAGAAGAUUAUAUGAAUGUGAUAGGGUCGAAAUGGGUGUAUAAAAUCAAAAGGAGGUCAGAUGGAAGCUUUGAGAGAUGUAAAGCCAGACUUGUGGCCCAAGGAUACAAUCAGGAGGAAGGGGUGGACUUUUAAUAUACAUAAAGUCCAGUGGUUAAAAUAUCAACUGUUAGAACUGUUCUUUCAAUUGCAAUAAGUCAUGGAUGGUCACUAAGACAACUUGAUGUGAGGAAUGCCUUUUUAAAUGGAAACCUUCAUGAGACAGUAUAUAUGAGGCAACCAAAGGGUCUUGAAGACAGAAAUAGAAUGGGAGAUGUGUGCCUACUUCAGAAGGCAUUAUAUGGACUGAAACAGGCUCGUAGGCCCUGGUAUCUUAGAUUGCACCAGUACUUAAUUUCAGAAGAAUUUAAGAAUUCAGAUGUUGAUGCAUCACUCUUUUACAAGGUUAAUGGUGGAUUUAAAUUGUUAAUAUUAAUUUAUGUGGAUGACAUUGUUAUUACAGGUUCACAUAAAGAAGAGAUAGAUAAAUUUAUAAAGAAGUUAUGUGAGACUUUCCAAUGCAAAGAUAUGGGUAAGCUCAGUUUCUUCUUUGGCAUUCAGUGCAUAUAUCAAGGAGAGAAUGUGGUAUUGUCCUAAGAGAAUUAUGUGAAAGACAUAUUGAAAAGGUUUGGCUAUGAUAAGUCAAUUCCAGUAAGAACACCUAUGACCUUAUCAACAAAACUACAUCAUGAUAUGAGGGACCCUUUGGAAGAUAUCACAGGAUAUAGAAGUAUGGUCGGAAGCCUGCAGUAUUUGUCCCUCACUAGACCUGAUCUAUCCUUUGCAAUCAAUCAGGUGUGUUAGUUUCUCCAAAAUCCUAAAGAAGGGCACUUAUUGGCAGUUAAAAGAAUUUUCAGAUAUUUACAAGGGACCACAAGCUUGGGAUUGAGAAUUACUAAAGGAUCAAGGGAUACUAUGAAUCUAAUUGCGUAUAUAGAUUCUGAUUGGGGAGGAUGACCAGAUAGAAGAUCAAUCACUGGAUGAAGUGUUUGGUAUGGAAAUAGCCUACUAUCAUGGUCUGCUAAAAAGCAACCAACAGUGUCAAACUCAAGUUCAGAGGCAGAAUUUAAGGCAAUAAUGGCUCAUGUCACAUCAGAGGUUAGAUGGUAUUGCUAUUUGUUUAGAGAGUUGGGGAUCAAACUAUUAUCACCUUCCAACUCUCCUAUGUUAUAGUCGAUCCGCAAUAUUCAUGGCCAAAAAUCCUACAAUUACAUCACGCUCAAGACAUAUAGAAAUAUCAUACUACUUUAUAAGUGAAUUAAUAAACAGAGGGGUACUUAAAAUCGAAAAUGUACCUACAAGCUUGCAGCUUGCAGAUGGAUUCACCAAGGUACUGGGUACCGAUGACUUCUUACGACCUCGCCAUCGCCACAAGUUAGUCCCAGUGCAGUCACCUCAAUCAGAGCCACCUAAUUCAAAUCUUACGCGAGGAAUCCCUCCAGAUUUGAGGGAGGAUGUAAAAUAUCAAGGAGAAGGCAGUCAUAGUCCAGCCACCUAAUUCUGAAUAUUUAGGAUUAGGAAUGCACGACCCGGAUCCGAUACCUGAAAACAAGGG